AUGCUGGAGGUAUCAGAAGUGCGAAUGCUGACAUAAGUAACGAUAAAGCGGGUGAAAAGCCCGCUCGCCGGAAGACCAAGGGUUCCUGUCCAACGUUAAUCGGGGCAGGGUGAGUCGACCCCUAAGGCGAGGCCGAAAGGCGUAGUCGAUGGGAAACAGGUUAAUAUUCCUGUACUUGGUGUUACUGCGAAGGGGGGACGGAGAAGGCUAUGUUGGCCGGGCGACGGUUGUCCCGGUUUAAGCGUGUAGGCUGGUUUUCCAGGCAAAUCCGGAAAAUCAAGGCUGAGGCGUGAUGACGAGGCACUACGGUGCUGAAGCAACAAAUGCCCUGCUUCCAGGAAAAGCCUCUAAGCAUCAGGUAACAUCAAAUCGUACCCCAAACCGACACAGGUGGUCAGGUAGAGAAUACCAAGGCGCUUGAGAGAACUCGGGUGAAGGAACUAGGCAAAAUGGUGCCGUAACUUCGGGAGAAGGCACGCUGAUAUGUAGGUGAAGUCCCUCGCGGAUGGAGCUGAAAUCAGUCGAAGAUACCAGCUGGCUGCAACUGUUUAUUAAAAACACAGCACUGUGCAAACACGAAAGUGGACGUAUACGGUGUGACGCCUGCCCGGUGCCGGAAGGUUAAUUGAUGGGGUUAGCCGCAAGGCGAAGCUCUUGAUCGAAGCCCCGGUAAACGGCGGCCGUAACUAUAACGGUCCUAAGGUAGCGAAAUUCCUUGUCGGGUAAGUUCCGACCUGCACGAAUGGCGUAAUGAUGGCCAGGCUGUCUCCACCCGAGACUCAGUGAAAUUGAACUCGCUGUGAAGAUGCAGUGUACCCGCGGCAAGACGGAAAGACCCCGUGAACCUUUACUAUAGCUUGACACUGAACAUUGAGCCUUGAUGUGUAGGAUAGGUGGGAGGCUUUGAAGUGUGGACGCCAGUCUGCAUGGAGCCGACCUUGAAAUACCACCCUUUAAUGUUUGAUGUUCUAACGUUGACCCGUAAUCCGGGUUGCGGACAGUGUCUGGUGGGUAGUUUGACUGGGGCGGUCUCCUCCUAAAGAGUAACGGAGGAGCACGAAGGUUGGCUAAUCCUGGUCGGACAUCAGGAGGUUAGUGCAAUGGCAUAAGCCAGCUUGACUGCGAGCGUGACGGCGCGAGCAGGUGCGAAAGCAGGUCAUAGUGAUCCGGUGGUUCUGAAUGGAAGGGCCAUCGCUCAACGGAUAAAAGGUACUCCGGGGAUAACAGGCUGAUACCGCCCAAGAGUUCAUAUCGACGGCGGUGUUUGGCACCUCGAUGUCGGCUCAUCACAUCCUGGGGCUGAAGUAGGUCCCAAGGGUAUGGCUGUUCGCCAUUUAAAGUGGUACGCGAGCUGGGUUUAGAACGUCGUGAGACAGUUCGGUCCCUAUCUGCCGUGGGCGCUGGAGAACUGAGGGGGGCUGCUCCUAGUACGAGAGGACCGGAGUGGACGCAUCACUGGUGUUCGGGUUGUCAUGCCAAUGGCACUGCCCGGUAGCUAAAUGCGGAAGAGAUAAGUGCUGAAAGCAUCUAAGCACGAAACUUGCCCCGAGAUGAGUUCUCCCUGAC
This 1566-nucleotide ribosomal RNA is filed under the name Escherichia coli. RNAcentral describes it as "partial 23S ribosomal RNA". It matches the Rfam family "Bacterial large subunit ribosomal RNA", at positions 1270 to 2819 of the family's 2925-position model. Lineage: Bacteria; Pseudomonadati; Pseudomonadota; Gammaproteobacteria; Enterobacterales; Enterobacteriaceae. The record is from RNAcentral.